UACGUAGGCAGCAAGCGUUGUUCGGAGUUACUGGGCGUAAAGGGUGCGUAGGCGGCUUUUUAAGUUUGGUGUGAAAUCGCCCGGCUUAACUGGGCGGGGGCCUUCCAGACGGCGUGGCUUGAGCAGCGGAGGGGGACGUGGAAUUCCGGGUGGAGCGGUGAAAUGCGUAGAGAUCCGGAGGAACACCGACGGCGCAGGCAGCGUCCUGGCCGCUUGCUGACACUGAGGCACGAAAGCUGGGGGAGCAAACAGG
This 253-nucleotide ribosomal RNA is filed under the name uncultured bacterium. Its description in RNAcentral is "partial 16S ribosomal RNA". It matches the Rfam family "Bacterial small subunit ribosomal RNA", at positions 524 to 776 of the family's 1533-position model. The record is from RNAcentral.